This 241-nucleotide long non-coding RNA is filed under the name Elaeis guineensis (African oil palm). RNAcentral describes it as "long non-coding RNA (EGUI_LNC054507)". Lineage: Eukaryota; Viridiplantae; Streptophyta; Magnoliopsida; Arecales; Arecaceae. The record is from RNAcentral.
AUGGCAUCACACCUAACUUGACAAUGAACUUUUUGAAUCAAAACACCUCCUUAGCAGCUUUCGAUAGGGUGAUAUAUUCUACAUCCAUGGUGAAGUCUGUAAUAAUAGGUUGUUUGGAACUCUUCCAACUUUAGCACCACCAUUGUACAAGAAAAUACUGUCUAAUGUCAAUUUUCGAUCAUCAAUGUCAGAUAUAAAGUCUGAGUUAGUAUAACCUUGUAUCCUCAGUUCUCCAUUACCA